AUUCCAGCUCCAUAGCGUAUACUAAAGUUGUUGCAGUUAAAACGCUCGUAGUCGGAUUUCGUGGUCGGGCGACAGGUCUCCUUCACAGGUGCACUUGUCGGCUUGCCAUUCUUACCGGAACGGCUGCACUUUUUUAACUAAACGUGCAGUUGGAACGGUUUAUUUACUUUGAAAAAAUCAGAGUGUUUCAAGCAGGCAGCUCGCUCUUGCAUGGAUUAGCAUGGGAUAAUGAAAUAGGACUUUGGUGCUAUUUUGUUGGUUUCGAACACCGAAGUAAUGAUUAAAAGGGACAGUCAGGGGCACUCGUAUUCCGCCGAGAGAGGUGAAAUUCUCAGACCAGCGGAAGACGAACCACUGCGAAAGCAUUUGCCAGGGAUGUUUUCACUGAUCAAGAACGAAAGUUAGGGGAUCGAAGACGAUCAGAUACCGUCGUAGUCUUAACCAUAAACAAUACCGACUAGGGAUUGGAGGAUGUUCACUAUCGACUCCUUCAGCACCUUACGGGAAACUAAAGUCUUUGGGUUCCGGGGGGAGUAUGGUCGCAAGGCUGAAACUUAAAGGAAUUGACGGAAGGGCACCACCAGGAGUGGAGCCUGCGGCUUAAUUUGACUCAACACGGGGAAACUUACCAGGUCCAGACAUUGUGAGGAUUGACAGAUUGAGAGCUCUUUCUUGAUUCGAUGGGUGGUGGUGCAUGGCCGUUCUUAGUUGGUGGAGUGAUUUGUCUGGUUAAUUCCGUUAACGAACGAGACCGUUGCCUAUUAAAUAGUGACGCGAACACUUCGUUGGCGGCGCACUUCUUAGAGGGACAACUUGUUUUCAACAAGUGGAAGUUAGCGGCAAUAAC
This 847-nucleotide ribosomal RNA is filed under the name uncultured prymnesiophyte SGZW1078. RNAcentral describes it as "SSU rRNA". It matches the Rfam family "Eukaryotic small subunit ribosomal RNA", at positions 582 to 1457 of the family's 1831-position model. The record is from RNAcentral. Lineage: Eukaryota; Haptophyta.